This 445-nucleotide ribosomal RNA is filed under the name uncultured bacterium. RNAcentral describes it as "bacterial SSU rRNA". It matches the Rfam family "Bacterial small subunit ribosomal RNA", at positions 335 to 798 of the family's 1533-position model. The record is from RNAcentral.
ACUCCUACGGGAGGCAGCAGUGGGAAUUUUGCGCAAUGGGCGAAAGCCUGACGCAGCAACGCCGCGUGCGGGAAGAAGGCCCUCGGGUUGUAAACCGCUUUCAGCAGGAACGAAACUGACGGUACCUGCAGAAGAAGCCCCGGCCAACUACGUGCCAGCAGCCGCGGUGAUACGUAGGGGCGAGCGUUGUCCGGAUUCAUUGGGCGUAAAGAGCUCGUAGGCGGUUCGGUUAGUCAGAUGUGAAAACUCCGGGCUCAACUCGGAGAGGCCAUCUGAUACUGCCGUGACUGGAGUUCGGUAGAGGAGUGUGGAAUUCCCGGUGUAGCGGUGAAAUGCGCAGAUAUCGGGAGGAACACCAGCGGCGAAGGCGGCACUCUGGGCCGAUACUGACGCUGAGGAGCGAAAGCGUGGGGAGCGAACAGGAUUAGAUACCCUGGUAGGCUCU